CAGUCGCCGCGGUAAUACGGAGGGUGCAAGCGUUAUCCGGAUUCACUGGGUUUAAAGGGUGCGUAGGCGGAUCUGUAAGUCAGUGGUGAAAUCUUCAGGCUUAACCUGGAAACUGCCGUUGAUACUAUAGGUCUUGAAUUUUGUGGAGGUUAGCGGAAUAUGUCAUGUAGCGGUGAAAUGCAUAGAUAUGACAUAGAACACCAAUUGCGAAGGCAGCUGGCUACACAACUAUUGACGCUGAGGCACGAAAGCGUGGGGAUCAAACAGGAUUAGAUACCCGAGUAGUCCCUGUCUCUUAUAC
Molecule: ribosomal RNA, 301 nt
Filed under: uncultured bacterium
Lineage: Bacteria
Description: partial 16S ribosomal RNA
Rfam family: Bacterial small subunit ribosomal RNA
Source: RNAcentral